Molecule: non-coding RNA, 137 nt
Filed under: human gut metagenome
Description: FMN riboswitch (RFN element)
Rfam family: FMN riboswitch aptamer (RFN element)
About the family: The RFN element is a highly conserved domain that is found frequently in the 5'-untranslated regions of prokaryotic mRNAs that encode for flavin mononucleotide (FMN) biosynthesis and transport proteins. This element is a metabolite-dependent riboswitch that directly binds FMN in the absence of proteins. In Bacillus subtilis, the riboswitch most likely controls gene expression by causing premature transcription termination within the 5' untranslated region of the ribDEAHT operon and precluding access to the ribosome-binding site of ypaA mRNA.
Source: RNAcentral
UUCUUCGGGGCAGGGUGAGAUUCCCUACCGGCGGUUACAGCCCGCGAACCCGCAAGGCUUUUGCCUUCGGGCCGAUUCGGUGAAAUUCCGAAGCCGACGGUGAACGGCGUUCGCGCCGCAGUCCGGAUGAUAGAAGA